UACGGAGGGUGCAAGCGUUAUCCGGAUUCACUGGGUUUAAAGGGAGCGUAGGAGGGCAGGUAAGUCAGUGGUGAAAUCUUCGAGCUUAACUCGGAAACUGCCGUUGAUACUAUCUGUCUUGAAUACCGUGGAGAUGAGCGGAAUAUGUCAUGUAGCGGUGAAAUGCUUAGAUAUGACAUAGAACACCAAUUGCGAAGGCAGCUCACUACACGAGCAUUGACUCUGAGGCACGAAAGCGUGGGGAUCAAACAGG
This 253-nucleotide ribosomal RNA is filed under the name uncultured bacterium. RNAcentral describes it as "partial 16S ribosomal RNA". It matches the Rfam family "Bacterial small subunit ribosomal RNA", at positions 524 to 776 of the family's 1533-position model. The record is from RNAcentral.